GUCUGAUUUUCUUUAUUUUCAAUGACUAGGUCAUUAGUUAGCAGUACAAAAAAUAACAAUUUUCUGUAUACAUGAUACAUGGAUAAUAAUGAUGUAUGGAUUAAAUAUUGCAUAUUUAUUUCAAAAAAUAAAAUAUUUUCAAUUUAUUUCAUGGAAUAUAAUGACAAUAAUGUUGAAAUACUAUGAAAUAGAACAUAUACAAUUCUGUCUUGAUAAAAAUUCCAUAAUCAUCACCUAAUUAUAAUAUGUGACAGUUCAUCAAAUGAAUCAAGAAUAAGUGAAGCUUCAAACUCUUGCUAAUAUACAUGAGGGUCCAGAUGGGGUCCUUUAUUUCUGUAUUUUUCAUUUUUAGACUAUUAUUCUUUAUUGAGGCCCCUCAUGGGGGGGGGGUCCUAGUAAUCACAUAAUCACCAUUUUUUUGCCAAUAUAAUCACAUAAUCAUUAAAUAUUUGCUGAUCUUUAGUAAUCAAAUAAUCAUAAACUAAAAAUACAGUCCUAGGUAAUCAAAUAAUCAUGAAAUAUUUGGCUCAAUAAUCAAAUAAUCAUUAAAAAAACGGCCAAGUAAUCACAUAAUCAAAAACCCCAUGAGGGCCCUCUUUAUUCUACAUUUAAUUUGCCCAUUAUUCCCUAUUCUUUAUAUUCAAGCACCCUAUUAUCUAUCCUCUAGUUUUUAAAUUUUUUUUUUAUCUAUUCUAAAAAAAAUAUUUGCUAUUUAUUCUGCACAUUUUGCUAACAACUGUAUUCUGUAAACCCCAUCAGACCCUCAUUCAGCUUGAAGAAUUUAAAGCAUGUCAUUAUUACAUCAAUCAAUGUUUGUCCAGCAAACUUUGAUAUUGUAGAUGAUUUGUGAUGGGUGACCUAUAUUUGCAUGAAAUUUGUCCUCAGUAAGCACAUUUAUAAUAAGGUGUUAUACUGAAAUUCAUUAUAGGUUAGCAGACAGAAAAUUGAUUGAUGUCAGUUCCUUAUAAAAACAUUUUAAAAUAAAAAAUAUGAAUUUAUCCUGCAUUAAGUAAUUAAUUCAUAUUUUAAUUCAAUAUUUUCUUCUGCACCUCUGUAUAAUGUAUGAAUUGUGAGUAAAAUUACUGCGUAGAAAAAUAUAUUUAUUUCUAUAAAUAUUAAGAGAUAUAUAAAACCAUGUAUUAAAAUUUCUUUAAACUAUCUGCACCAUAGUUUAUGUCAUGAUGCAAAAGAAACUUGUUUAAAAUAUAUAUUUUGAAAAUGUCUUCAGUCUCUAUAAGCAUUUCCCUUUGUGAAUAUAAGCCUUUGUCUGAAUAAAUAAACCUGAAGCAUGAAUGUCUUUUUUUUUAAAUGACUCCUUUUCAUAUCUUAUUGGCUUCAAACCUUUCUAGCCAAUAUAUAUAUUUUUGUUUCUCUCAAAAUUUGGAAAUCUUUUGCUAUAGAUACUGAAAACCAAAAAUGUUUAAUUUAAACUAAAGCUUUAAAUUUAAGAUACAUUAAAGAUAACACAUUUUUGUUGGAGGAUAAGGUGAUAAAUAACAUUUAAUUAUUUGAACAUAAUCUGUGAAUGCAAUAAUUGAAUUCUGACACAAGUGUCAUACAAUAAGCAAUCUAUCUUACUUCAUGUUAAGGUAAGAAUUUUUUUAAAAGAAAAAAUGAAAUUGUGUGCAAAAUGUGAAGUGAGUGAAAUGGUCAAUCUCAGAUGGCACCAGCAAAUUUUUAUACAGCUUCUCCAAAAAAGGGCAAGAUAUUCCCAAUAAGGAGAAUACUCAAUUUUUACCCCCCAAAAAUUUUUAUUUUUGAAUAGUUGCCUAGCAAUAAAUCCCCAUUGAAAAUAUUAAUAAAUUGUAAGGCAUUCUUGUGAAGUUAUCAUUUUAUCAUCAAAUCAAAAUGUGUCGCCUGAUAAUUUAUACAUUUUUUUCAUACAUAUUUAUCAAUCAAAAUAUAAUUUAUAACGCAAUAUAAUAUAAUAUGACAAUUUAAGAAUUAAAACAAAAGAUUACAUUGAUGGAAUAUUCUACAUGAUAUGUGUUUAUGAUAUGUAAAUUAUGUACAAAUGUGUAUAAGUGUAUCAUACAAGUGUAUAAACAUCUAUUUACAAUGCACAACCUUUUGAUGAGGAAUGUAUAAUGGUCAAUCAUUUAUGACCAAUUCUACAAAAUAUAACAUAAAUAUCGUACAGAAAAAAAUCAUGACAAAUAAAUAUUCAACGAUAUAAAACUCUUAAUGUUUGAAGCAUUUCUGAAUGCAGUUAAUCGUGAUUUCAUCUGAAAACGUUCUAUUUAGUAAACAGAUGACAAUCAUACUAAUUAUUAAUCUUUGAAAUAAAAAAGAUUUUAAAAGUGAAAAUGGCUAUAUUGGAAGCAAAUUCUGAUUAAACAAAAAACAGAAUCAAGACCAGCUUUGCUAACUUAGAAAAGCAUUAAACAGGCAGCAUAGAUUUUCAUAAGAGCAUCAUGUUCAUACCAAAUUGAAAUUAUAGAAAUAUUACGAAUUUUGUAUAUCAUAAAAUUGUGAGUUCAUCACAUGUUGCCAAUUUAGAUGAACUAUUACACCAGAUUGCAUUGAGUGUGUAGGUAAAGGUAAAAUCUUUGGUUAGUUGCUAGCUGAACCAUGAAGUCAUUAUUUGGUUAGGUAUACUACCCUCCUUUUGAAGUAGUUUAGUCCUACAGACAGGUCGAUUGGUUUUCUGUCACACUAGUCUACUCUUCAAGUAUGGUAGUUAAUCUAAACUAAGCUAGCAAACAAGCUAACCAAAGUUAUUACCUUUUCCUACACACUCAAUGCAAUCAGCU
RNAcentral lists this long non-coding RNA (2753 nucleotides) under Mytilus galloprovincialis (Mediterranean mussel). Lineage: Eukaryota; Metazoa; Mollusca; Bivalvia; Mytilida; Mytilidae. The record is from RNAcentral.